RNAcentral lists this ribosomal RNA (1281 nucleotides) under Staphylococcus aureus. RNAcentral's name for it is "partial 23S ribosomal RNA". It matches the Rfam family "Bacterial large subunit ribosomal RNA", at positions 12 to 1294 of the family's 2925-position model. The record is from RNAcentral. Lineage: Bacteria; Bacillati; Bacillota; Bacilli; Caryophanales; Staphylococcaceae.
UAAGGGCGCACGGUGGAUGCCUUGGCACUAGAAGCCGAUGAAGGACGUUACUAACGACGAUAUGCUUUGGGGAGCUGUAAGUAAGCUUUGAUCCAGAGAUUUCCGAAUGGGGAAACCCAGCAUGAGUUAUGUCAUGUUAUCGAUAUGUGAAUACAUAGCAUAUCAGAAGGCACACCCGGAGAACUGAAACAUCUUAGUACCCGGAGGAAGAGAAAGAAAAUUCGAUUCCCUUAGUAGCGGCGAGCGAAACGGGAAGAGCCCAAACCAACAAGCUUGCUUGUUGGGGUUGUAGGACACUCUAUACGGAGUUACAAAGGACGACAUUAGACGAAUCAUCUGGAAAGAUGAAUCAAAGAAGGUAAUAAUCCUGUAGUCGAAAAUGUUGUCUCUCUUGAGUGGAUCCUGAGUACGACGGAGCACGUGAAAUUCCGUCGGAAUCUGGGAGGACCAUCUCCUAAGGCUAAAUACUCUCUAGUGACCGAUAGUGAACCAGUACCGUGAGGGAAAGGUGAAAAGCACCCCGGAAGGGGAGUGAAAUAGAACCUGAAACCGUGUGCUUACAAGUAGUCAGAGCCCGUUAAUGGGUGAUGGCGUGCCUUUUGUAGAAUGAACCGGCGAGUUACGAUUUGAUGCAAGGUUAAGCAGUAAAUGUGGAGCCGUAGCGAAAGCGAGUCUGAAUAGGGCGUUUAGUAUUUGGUCGUAGACCCGAAACCAGGUGAUCUACCCUUGGUCAGGUUGAAGUUCAGGUAACACUGAAUGGAGGACCGAACCGACUUACGUUGAAAAGUGAGCGGAUGAACUGAGGGUAGCGGAGAAAUUCCAAUCGAACCUGGAGAUAGCUGGUUCUCUCCGAAAUAGCUUUAGGGCUAGCCUCAAGUGAUGAUUAUUGGAGGUAGAGCACUGUUUGGACGAGGGGCCCCUCUCGGGUUACCGAAUUCAGACAAACUCCGAAUGCCAAUUAAUUUAACUUGGGAGUCAGAACAUGGGUGAUAAGGUCCGUGUUCGAAAGGGAAACAGCCCAGACCACCAGCUAAGGUCCCAAAAUAUAUGUUAAGUGGAAAAGGAUGUGGCGUUGCCCAGACAACUAGGAUGUUGGCUUAGAAGCAGCCAUCAUUUAAAGAGUGCGUAAUAGCUCACUAGUCGAGUGACACUGCGCCGAAAAUGUACCGGGGCUAAACAUAUUACCGAAGCUGUGGAUUGUCCUUUGGACAAUGGUAGGAGAGCGUUCUAAGGGCGUUGAAGCAUGAUCGUAAGGACAUGUGGAGCGCUUAGAAGUGAGAA